UACGAAGGGGGCUAGCGUUGCUCGGAAUCACUGGGCGUAAAGCGCACGUAGGCGGAUUGUUAAGUCAGGGGUGAAAUCCUGGAGCUCAACUCCAGAACUGCCUUUGAUACUGAAGAUCUUGAGUUCGGGAGAGGUGAGUGGAACUGCGAGUGUAGAGGUGAAAUUCGUAGAUAUUCGCAAGAACACCAGUGGCGAAGGCGGCUCACUGGCUCGAUACUGACGCUGAGGCACGAAAGCGUGGGGAGCAAACAGG
Molecule: ribosomal RNA, 253 nt
Filed under: uncultured bacterium
Lineage: Bacteria
Description: partial 16S ribosomal RNA
Rfam family: Bacterial small subunit ribosomal RNA
Source: RNAcentral